GGUGGGGCCGAAGGCGGGAGCUGCGUGGGGCCCGGCCCAGGUGGGCGAGAGCGCGUCGAGGGCCCUGAGCGGCGCGGCUUUCCUUCCCUUCCCCUCGGACGCGGAGGCCCUUCCCGCACCGCGGCGAGGCUACAACAGGUACAGUUACCUUUGACUGCAAGUACAUCCCUCCCAACACGCAGCUUAUCUAAAAUAACAGGAUCCCUAAGCAGAGCGAUACUUCCAGUGACUGGACAGAGGUCUUCACAGUUUUACUGACUGCUUUGCCACAGCAUACCAUCUCAAAGGCAUGUUCUAUGCAUUCUUUUUUUCCUGUACACUUGUAAAACACUUAGUUUGACUUACAUGUGGAGUCACUCAGGCAAAUAAAAAGCAAAAAUAUCACCUUAA
Non-coding RNA from Meleagris gallopavo (turkey), 390 nucleotides. Lineage: Eukaryota; Metazoa; Chordata; Aves; Galliformes; Phasianidae. The record is from RefSeq and is a predicted model, not a curated record.